RNAcentral lists this non-coding RNA (168 nucleotides) under Oscillibacter sp. 1-3. RNAcentral describes it as "Lysine riboswitch aptamer". It matches the Rfam family "Lysine riboswitch aptamer". From Rfam's summary of the family: Riboswitches are metabolite binding domains within certain messenger RNAs that serve as precision sensors for their corresponding targets. Lineage: Bacteria; Bacillati; Bacillota; Clostridia; Eubacteriales; Oscillospiraceae. The record is from Rfam by way of RNAcentral. RNAcentral also lists the same sequence under 1 other name.
AAAUGAGAUAGAGGCGCGGAGACGAUGAAGUCGCGGGAGCCGGCAGGCGAGGAACGCGGCGGGGGCAGAUCCGCCGAACUCCCCGUCCGGGCGCGGGCGGAGGGUGGGCCCGUGAGAAAUACUCCCGGGACUGUCCGCGGGCUUGCCUGCGGGAGCGCUAUCCGCUUA